Monodelphis domestica (gray short-tailed opossum) is the source of this 289-nucleotide long non-coding RNA. The record is from Ensembl. NCBI's taxonomy places the organism in Eukaryota, Metazoa, Chordata, Mammalia, Didelphimorphia, Didelphidae.
ACCGACUUUUAAAUUUAAUCACCAGAAGCAUAUACACCUUACUUGACUCCAAAAUGGGGGAGGUCCACAACUCAUGUGUUAAAACUUCAGAACCAUGUCUCCUCUACUGCUGGUUCCUCCUGGAACUUCUUUUGGUGCCUGGGGCUUAAUAGACACUGGAAAAGCCUACCAUCCCUGAGGCCUUCUUACCCUGGAAUACCCCUCAGCAAGACCUAUCCUAACUUCUCUUACUGGUGAGUUCUUGUAGUAGCUCUAUUUUAUGGAGAGCCAAGGGCCAGUUUCCCUUCAU